UGUAAGCGUAUACCAAAGUUGUUGCAGUUAAAACGCUCGUAGUCGGAAUUUGGCAGUUCCGGAAGUGUGCACGUCGUGUGCGCACUUUGCGGGGACUGCUUUUGUGGUCUUGCGUAGGAUGAGGCACUUUCAUUAGUGAACGUCCUCACGCAACCACUCUUUACUGUGAGAAAAUCAGAGUGCUCAAAGCAGGCAUUUGCCGUGAAUGUAUUAGCAUGGAAUAAUAGAAUAGGACUCGGUUCUAUGUUGUUGGUUUGUUGGGACUGAGUAAUGAUUAAGAGGGACAGUUGGGGGCAUUUGUAUUCCGGCGCUAGAGGUGAAAUUCUUAGAUUGCCGGAAGACAAACUGCUGCGAAAGCGUCUGCCAAGGAUGUUUUCAUUGA
Molecule: ribosomal RNA, 382 nt
Filed under: uncultured eukaryote
Lineage: Eukaryota
Description: partial 18S ribosomal RNA
Rfam family: Eukaryotic small subunit ribosomal RNA
Source: RNAcentral